AUCCGGAGGAUGCGAGCGUUAUCCGGAUUUAUUGGGUUUAAAGGGAGCGUAGGUGGGAUAUUAAGUCAGCUGUGAAAGUUUGGGGCUCAACCUUAAAAUUGCAGUUGAUACUGGUUUCCUUGAGUACGGUACAGGUGGGCGGAAUUCGUGGUGUAGCGGUGGAAUGCUUAGAUAUCACGAAGAACUCCGAUCGCGAAGGCAGCUCACCGGGCCGGAACUGACACUGAUGCUCGAAAGUGCGGGUAUCAAACAGGAUUAGAUACCCUGGUAGUCCGCACAGUAAACGAUGAAUACUCGCUGUUUGCGAUACACGGUAAGCGGCCAAGCGAAAGCGUUAAGUAUUCCACCUGGGGAGUACGCCGGCAACGGUGAAACUCAAAUGAAUUGGCGGGG
This 393-nucleotide ribosomal RNA is filed under the name uncultured bacterium. Its description in RNAcentral is "partial 16S ribosomal RNA". It matches the Rfam family "Bacterial small subunit ribosomal RNA", at positions 523 to 918 of the family's 1533-position model. The record is from RNAcentral.